CACCAGCUAAGGUACGAGUGGAAUAGACAGGAACGAGAAUCAGAGAGUUUAACGAAGCGUUGCACUCCUUCGUCGACUUUAAUCCUACCACGGAGUAACCCUUGAUUUUGAGUGGCUAAACGCUCUACCUUCGUAAGGUAUGUAAUUCGCUCUUUCUGCUCAUGGAAGUUCCUUGCAAAAGCGCUCCGGUAAUUACAGGAAAGCUUUUGUGUUUGGUCGGACAGGAGUCUGCUUUCGAAGCAUCUGGUUUUUGUUUUAUACUUUAGCCAAUAAGUAAGUUCAUUUCCACUUUCUUGACUUGACAUCAAGUAAGAAGAAGAAGAUCAGAUCGAAUCGAUUACUACUAUCUAUCGACUUGCUUGCUAAGACUUCCCAAUUAGUCUAGUAUGUCUCAGUGCUAGCAAGCAAAGCUGUCUAUGAAUUACUUUCUUUCAACAAAAGAAUGGAUUAAGGUGAUAGAG
Molecule: unclassified non-coding RNA, 461 nt
Filed under: Hevea brasiliensis (rubber tree)
Lineage: Eukaryota; Viridiplantae; Streptophyta; Magnoliopsida; Malpighiales; Euphorbiaceae
Source: RNAcentral